This 497-nucleotide ribosomal RNA is filed under the name uncultured bacterium. RNAcentral's name for it is "partial 16S ribosomal RNA". It matches the Rfam family "Bacterial small subunit ribosomal RNA", at positions 28 to 507 of the family's 1533-position model. The record is from RNAcentral.
GACGAACGCUGGCGGCGUGCCUAAUACAUGCCAGUUGAGCGAUGAAGAUUGGUGCUUGCCCCAAUUUGAAGAGCAGCGAACGGGUGAGUAACGCGUGGGGAAUCUGCCUUUGAGCGGGGGACAACAUUUGGAAACGAAUGCUAAUACCGCAUAAUAACUUUAAACAUAAGUUUUAAGUUUGAAAGAUGCAAUUGCAUCACUCAAAGAUGAUCCCGCGUUGUAUUAGCUAGUUGGUGAGGUAAAGGCUCACCAAGGCGAUGAUACAUAGCCGACCUGAGAGGGUGAUCGGCCACAUUGGGACUGAGACACGGCCCAAACUCCUGCGGGAGGCAGCAGUAGGGAAUCUUCGGCAAUGGACGAAAGUCUGACCGAGCAACGCCGCGUGAGUGAAGAAGGUUUUCGGAUCGUAAAACUCUGUUGGUAGAGAAGAACGUUGGUGAGAGUGGAAAGCUCAUCAAGUGACGGUAACUACCCAGAAAGGGACGGCUAACUACGUG